GACGAACGCUGGCGGCGUGCUUAACACAUGCAAGUCGAACGGAAAGGCCCUGCUUUUGUGGGGUGCUCGAGUGGCGAACGGGUGAGUAACACGUGAGUAACCUGCCCUUGACUUUGGGAUAACUUCAGGAAACUGGGGCUAAUACCGGAUAGGAGCUCCUGCUGCAUGGUGGGGGUUGGAAAGUUUCGGCGGUUGGGGAUGGACUCGCGGCUUAUCAGCUUGUUGGUGGGGUAGUGGCUUACCAAGGCUUUGACGGGUAGCCGGCCUGAGCGGGUGACCGGCCACAUUGGGACUGAGAUACGGCGCAGACUGCUACGGGAGGCAGCAGUGGGGAAUAUUGCACAAUGGGCGGAAGCCUGAUGCAGCAGCGCCGCGUGCGGGAUGACGGCCUUCGGGUUGUAACCCGCUUUCGCCUGUGACGAAGCGUGAGUGACGGUAAUGGGUAAAGAAGCACCGGCUAACUACGUG
Molecule: ribosomal RNA, 468 nt
Filed under: uncultured bacterium
Lineage: Bacteria
Description: partial 16S ribosomal RNA
Rfam family: Bacterial small subunit ribosomal RNA
Source: RNAcentral